RNAcentral lists this ribosomal RNA (1636 nucleotides) under Escherichia coli. RNAcentral's name for it is "bacterial LSU rRNA". It matches the Rfam family "Bacterial large subunit ribosomal RNA", at positions 1 to 1670 of the family's 2925-position model. Lineage: Bacteria; Pseudomonadati; Pseudomonadota; Gammaproteobacteria; Enterobacterales; Enterobacteriaceae. The record is from RNAcentral.
GGGUUGUGAGGUUAAGCGACUAAGCGUACACGGUGGAUGCCCUGGCAGUCAGAGGCGAUGAAGGACGUGCUAAUCUGCGAUAAGCGUCGGUAAGGUGAUAUGAACCGUUAUAACCGGCGAUUUCCGAAUGGGGAAACCCAGUGUGAUUCGUCACACUAUCAUUAACUGAAUCCAUAGGUUAAUGAGGCGAACCGGGGGAACUGAAACAUCUAAGUACCCCGAGGAAAAGAAAUCAACCGAGAUUCCCCCAGUAGCGGCGAGCGAACGGGGAGCAGCCCAGAGCCUGAAUCAGUGUGUGUGUUAGUGGAAGCGUCUGGAAAGGCGCGCGAUACAGGGUGACAGCCCCGUACACAAAAAUGCACAUGCUGUGAGCUCGAUGAGUAGGGCGGGACACGUGGUAUCCUGUCUGAAUAUGGGGGGACCAUCCUCCAAGGCUAAAUACUCCUGACUGACCGAUAGUGAACCAGUACCGUGAGGGAAAGGCGAAAAGAACCCCGGCGAGGGGAGUGAAAAAGAACCUGAAACCGUGUACGUACAAGCAGUGGGAGCACGCUUAGGCGUGUGACUGCGUACCUUUUGUAUAAUGGGUCAGCGACUUAUAUUCUGUAGCAAGGUUAACCGAAUAGGGGAGCCGAAGGGAAACCGAGUCUUAACUGGGCGUUAAGUUGCAGGGUAUAGACCCGAAACCCGGUGAUCUAGCCAUGGGCAGGUUGAAGGUUGGGUAACACUAACUGGAGGACCGAACCGACUAAUGUUGAAAAAUUAGCGGAUGACUUGUGGCUGGGGGUGAAAGGCCAAUCAAACCGGGAGAUAGCUGGUUCUCCCCGAAAGCUAUUUAGGUAGCGCCUCGUGAAUUCAUCUCCGGGGGUAGAGCACUGUUUCGGCAAGGGGGUCAUCCCGACUUACCAACCCGAUGCAAACUGCGAAUACCGGAGAAUGUUAUCACGGGAGACACACGGCGGGUGCUAACGUCCGUCGUGAAGAGGGAAACAACCCAGACCGCCAGCUAAGGUCCCAAAGUCAUGGUUAAGUGGGAAACGAUGUGGGAAGGCCCAGACAGCCAGGAUGUUGGCUUAGAAGCAGCCAUCAUUUAAAGAAAGCGUAAUAGCUCACUGGUCGAGUCGGCCUGCGCGGAAGAUGUAACGGGGCUAAACCAUGCACCGAAGCUGCGGCAGCGACGCUKAUGCGUUGUUGGGUAGGGGAGCGUUCUGUAAGCCUGCGAAGGUGUGCUGUGAGGCAUGCUGGAGGUAUCAGAAGUGCGAAUGCUGACAUAAGUAACGAUAAAGCGGGUGAAAAGCCCGCUCGCCGGAAGACCAAGGGUUCCUGUCCAACGUUAAUCGGGGCAGGGUGAGUCGACCCCUAAGGCGAGGCCGAAAGGCGUAGUCGAUGGGAAACAGGUUAAUAUUCCUGUACUUGGUGUUACUGCGAAGGGGGGACGGAGAAGGCUAUGUUGGCCGGGCGACGGUUGUCCCGGUUUAAGCGUGUAGGCUGGUUUUCCAGGCAAAUCCGGAAAAUCAAGGCUGAGGCGUGAUGACGAGGCACUACGGUGCUGAAGCAACAAAUGCCCUGCUUCCAGGAAAAGCCUCUAAGCAUCAGGUAACAUCAAAUCGUACCCCAAACCGACACAGGUGGUCAG